Molecule: ribosomal RNA, 437 nt
Filed under: uncultured dinoflagellate
Lineage: Eukaryota; Dinophyceae
Description: SSU rRNA
Rfam family: Eukaryotic small subunit ribosomal RNA
Source: RNAcentral
AUCAAGAACGAAAGUUAAGGGAUCGAAGACGAUCAGAUACCGUCCUAGUCUUAACCAUAAACAAUGCCAUCUAGAGAUUGGAGGUAGUGCCAAGGAUUACUUCUUCAGCAUCAUUUGAGAAAUCAAAGCUUUUGGGUUCCGGGGGGAGUAUGGUCGCAAGGCUGAAACUUAAAGGAAUUGACGGAAGGGCACCACCAGGAGUGGAGCCUGCGGCUUAAUUUGACUCAACACGGGAAAACUCACCAGAACCAGACAUAAACAGGAUUGACAGAUUGAUAGCUCUUUCUUGAUUUUAUGGGUGGUGGUGCAUGGCCGUUCUUAGUUGGUGGAGUGAUCUGUCUGGUUAAUUCCGUUAACGAACGAGACCUUGUCUUACUAAAUAGUUACAUGUAACUUUGGUUACAUGGGCAGCUUCUUAGGGGGACUUUGCGAGCCUA